Molecule: long non-coding RNA, 434 nt
Organism: Cheilinus undulatus (humphead wrasse)
Lineage: Eukaryota; Metazoa; Chordata; Actinopteri; Labriformes; Labridae
Exons: 3
Source: RefSeq, a predicted model, not a curated record
AGUUGCUGGCAUUACAGAGACACAGGAGUCAGAAGAUGCGGACAGUGUGACGCCACUGCCAGACAGCACAUCUGCAGCAUCUGCCCAAAACCAGAGAAGCUCUGCAAAAACUAGAGAUGGCAGUAUACCAGAAGCUCAGGAAUCAGAAGAUGAGGCCAGCACCGCAUCACUACAAGAGAGGACCUCUACAGCGUCUGCCCAAAACCAGACAAGGUUUUCAAAAAAGAGAGUUAUCACCAGAGAAAUGAGCAUCACACUCCAGAAUUGACUGUUAGAUGUUGAUAGUCCCAUUUUUACACACCUUUAAUGGUUGGUAAAACUAUGUAUUUUUCCUGACUGUGGGACAGUCCUGUAUGGUCUCAACCAAGUCAGUACUUCAUUGGAUGACCAAUGGAAUCAAUCUGAUAGUGUUUCAGUUCUAGUUAGAAGUUAAA